RNAcentral lists this ribosomal RNA (465 nucleotides) under uncultured bacterium. Its description in RNAcentral is "partial 16S ribosomal RNA". It matches the Rfam family "Bacterial small subunit ribosomal RNA", at positions 28 to 507 of the family's 1533-position model. The record is from RNAcentral.
GACGAACGCUGGCGGCGUGCUUAACACAUGCAAGUCGAACGGAAAGGCCCUGCUUGCAGGGUACUCGAGUGGCGAACGGGUGAGUAACACGUGGGUGAUCUGCCCUGCACUUCGGGAUAAGCCUGGGAAACUGGGUCUAAUACCGGAUAGGAGCCAUUUUUAGUGUGAUGGUUGGAAAGUUUUUUCGGUGUAGGAUGAGCUGGCGGCCUAUCAGCUUGUUGGUGGGGUAAUGGCCUACCAAGGCGGCGACGGGUAGCCGGCCUGAGAGGGUGGACGGCCACAUUGGGACUGAGAUACGGCCCAGACUCCGACGGGAGGCAGCAGGGGGGAAUAUUGAACAAGGGGCGCAAGCCUGAUGCAGAGACGCCGCGUGGGGGAUGACGGCCUUCGGGUUGUAAACUCCUUUCGCUAGGGACGAAGCUUUUUGUGACGGUACCUAGAUAAGAAGCACCGGCUAACUACGUG